GUUAAUAUAUUAUAUAAAAAAUAAAGUAUUGUAGAGAUGUAGUUAUACAAAUAAAAUAUAAUUUUAGCCAUCACACAAUAUAUAAAUUUUUGUUGAUCCCAACAAAGAGUGGAGAUCAAAUCAAAUUUCAUAGGAGAGGGAAAGAGAAAGGAGAACAGGAAAGAGAAAUAAAUAGGAGAGGGAAAUAAGUUUAUUUGUUUUGCCGACACUUCAUCGGAACAGAUUUUUUAGGGUUUUAACAACUCUCUUCUUGCAUGGGCGCUUCGGGAGAUUAUGGUUUACUUUUCUCUGCCUUUGAAUAGGGAAGAGGCAGUUUGUUUUUCCUUUGUUUUGAUUGUUUU
Molecule: long non-coding RNA, 341 nt
Filed under: Manihot esculenta (cassava)
Lineage: Eukaryota; Viridiplantae; Streptophyta; Magnoliopsida; Malpighiales; Euphorbiaceae
Description: long non-coding RNA (MESC_LNC002530)
Source: RNAcentral